UACGUAGGGUGCAAGCGUUAAUCGGAAUUACUGGGCGUAAAGCGUGCGCAGGCGGUUAUGUAAGACAGAUGUGAAAUCCCCGGGCUCAACCUGGGAAUGGCAUUUGGGACUGCAAGGCUGGAGUGCGGCAGAGGAGACUGGAAUUCCUGGUGUAGCAGUGAAAUGCGUAGAUAUCGGGAAGAACACCCGUGGCGAAGGCGGCUCUCUGGGACGGUACUGACGCUGAGACGCGAAAGCGUGGGGAGCGAACAGG
This 253-nucleotide ribosomal RNA is filed under the name uncultured bacterium. RNAcentral's name for it is "partial 16S ribosomal RNA". It matches the Rfam family "Bacterial small subunit ribosomal RNA", at positions 524 to 776 of the family's 1533-position model. The record is from RNAcentral.